RNAcentral lists this ribosomal RNA (509 nucleotides) under Enterobacter sp. RNAcentral's name for it is "bacterial SSU rRNA". It matches the Rfam family "Bacterial small subunit ribosomal RNA", at positions 801 to 1317 of the family's 1533-position model. The record is from RNAcentral. Lineage: Bacteria; Pseudomonadati; Pseudomonadota; Gammaproteobacteria; Enterobacterales; Enterobacteriaceae.
CGAGUCGACUUGGAGGUUGUUCCCUUGAGGAGUGGCUUCCGGAGCUAACGCGUUAAGUCGACCGCCUGGGGAGUACGGCCGCAAGGUUAAAACUCAAAUGAAUUGACGGGGGCCCGCACAAGCGGUGGAGCAUGUGGUUUAAUUCGAUGCAACGCGAAGAACCUUACCUACUCUUGACAUCCAGCGAACUUGGCAGAGAUGCUUUGGUGCCUUCGGGAACGGUGAGACAGGUGCUGCAUGGCUGUCGUCAGCUCGUGUUGUGAAAUGUUGGGUUAAGUCCCGCAACGAGCGCAACCCUUAUCCUUUGUUGCCAGCGAUUCGGUCGGGAACUCAAAGGAGACUGCCGGUGAUAAACCGGAGGAAGGUGGGGAUGACGUCAAGUCAUCAUGGCCCUUACGAGUAGGGCUACACACGUGCUACAAUGGCGCAUACAAAGAGAAGCGACCUCGCGAGAGCAAGCGGACCUCACAAAGUGCGUCGUAGUCCGGAUCGGAGUCUGCAACUCGACU